Molecule: long non-coding RNA, 554 nt
Filed under: Rattus norvegicus (Norway rat)
Lineage: Eukaryota; Metazoa; Chordata; Mammalia; Rodentia; Muridae
Description: long non-coding RNA NONRATT022250
Source: RNAcentral
ACCAAGGCAUUCCACAAGCUGAGUCCUUCUGUUCACGCCCCGAAGUUCCAGUUGCUGUGUUCUCGGGGAGGGGUCUGUUCUCUCACAUAUAAGCGUAUUCUCCAUUCCUUAUCAAGGAAACGUCUCUGUUUGAUAGACUGAGAACACCACGUAAAACCACAGCCAAUCAAAACGCAAAGUUGUGGAGCCCUGUCUCUAUGGAUACAUCUCCCAAAUACCUCUGUGCUUAAGGCUCAGGGAACACUGUGGAAGAGGGGGCGGAAAGACUCCGUGAGACAAAGGACCAGGGACUUUCCUCUCAGAUUACAUCUCUUAGCAACAGAAGAAGCCACACCCAUGAACUCUGCAACAUGGUUGCUCGAGCCUGAGCUAGACAAAGACGACACUGACGAGUGUUCUAAACCCAACGGAGGAAGAGCCCAGGAGACCUCGAUGCUACACAAAGCAACCUAGGAGAGCUGGCAGUGGAGGAGUGGCUCUCCCCAGGGAAGGGCACACUGGAUGUGCCAAAUGGCCCACCUGAAAGCAUACAUAAAGUAACAUUAUAUGGACUC